Molecule: long non-coding RNA, 203 nt
Filed under: Lupinus angustifolius (narrow-leaved blue lupine)
Lineage: Eukaryota; Viridiplantae; Streptophyta; Magnoliopsida; Fabales; Fabaceae
Description: long non-coding RNA (LANG_LNC002467)
Source: RNAcentral
UUUGGGAAUGGGUUUCUAUAAUUUCUCCUUCUAUUCUGCAGAAGACAUGAGAACUGUGUGUGCCAUUGGUGCCUAGAGCUAGAAACCGGGUUUUCUGUGUCUUUAUUUUGCCAAGGUCCUAGUGGAUAUUGAUCUUAAGGUGGAACUUCGCAAUCAAUUUCUUGUGGAAAGAGAAGGCUUUGCUUUCUUUGUUCAGGUUGAAU